Unclassified non-coding RNA from Macaca mulatta (Rhesus monkey), 148 nucleotides. It matches the Rfam family "Metazoan signal recognition particle RNA". From Rfam's summary of the family: The signal recognition particle (SRP) is a universally conserved ribonucleoprotein. It is involved in the co-translational targeting of proteins to membranes. NCBI's taxonomy places the organism in Eukaryota, Metazoa, Chordata, Mammalia, Primates, Cercopithecidae. The record is from Ensembl.
GCCGGGCGCGGUGGCGGGCGCCUGUAGUCCUAGCUACUCAGGAGGCUGAGGCAGGAGAAUGGCGUGAACCCAGGAGGCGGAGCUUGCAGUGAGCCGAGAUCGCGCCACUGAACUCCAGCCUGGGCAACAGCGUGAGACUCUGUCUCAA